Molecule: ribosomal RNA, 202 nt
Filed under: uncultured microorganism
Description: partial 16S ribosomal RNA
Rfam family: Archaeal small subunit ribosomal RNA
Source: RNAcentral
GUGCACCAGGCGAGAAAACUUUACAAUGUGCGAAAGCACGAUAAGGGAACUCUGAGUGCCUCCUAAGGAGGCUGUUUCAGGUGUCUAAAAAGCACCUGAAGGAAGGGCUGGGUAAGACCGGUGCCAGCCGCCGCGGUAACACCGGCAGCCCGAAGUGGUAGCCGACGUUUAUUGGGUCUAAAGCGUCCGUAGCCGGCUGGGU